This 119-nucleotide ribosomal RNA is filed under the name Castor canadensis (American beaver). Lineage: Eukaryota; Metazoa; Chordata; Mammalia; Rodentia; Castoridae. The record is from RNAcentral.
GUCUACGGCCAUCCUACCCUGAAUGUGCCCGAUCUCGUCUGAUCUCGGAAGCUAAGCAGGGUCGGGCCUGGUUAGUACUUGGAUGGGAGACCACCUGGGAAUACAGGGUGCUGUAGGCU